GCCAUUUCUUUGAUUUGUCUUCUGCCCAUGUUUUUAAAGGCACCAAUUGCUCUCUAAUAAUCUCAAAUUUUGGCUGAACCAAAUCUUUCCCUUUAGUUCUGAUAUCAUCACUAUUGUGCAGGUCUAGCAUGGAGACUGCCAAACUGAACACCACUGCGGCUCCACCAAACACAAUUGCAGUAGCAACUGCAAAUGCCUUUCCAAUCUGUGUGAGCCCUUCAGCUGCAGCCUUCAAUUUCUCUGGAUUUAUAGGGGUAUAUCUGUCUUUUCUCAUUUCGUUCGCCGUCGACGCCAACACCGAGUUCUCUUGUGACGGCAAUUCCCACCUUUUGGGGCCAAAGGUGACCUGAGGCAGAGAUAGAUAAGCUCUCAGAGGAUUCAAAGCAUCAGGGGACACAGUGGAGGCCUUACUGGCAUGGGAGUGCAGUGCCCACUUGGAGGCUGUGGAAAGAGACGAUGAAUCGGACGGUUUCCCGUAGAUGUAGGAGGGAAGGGAAUGCCUCGAGACCUCCGGAAGAAUGUCAGCUUGGGAUUCGUGCUCGCUUGAAAGAGGAGAGGACGGGAGGUUCUUGGAGGUGGGGAUGGAUUUCUCAGCAAGCCGGUUAACGGCAUGUUUGGAUUCCUGGAAAAAGUAGGCAGCUUCUUUUCCUGCUAGCCUUCCCGCGAGAAAACUCAUUCUCUAUGCGGAUGUUGGAUUCGAUGUGAUCGACUAGAUUUUGAUUUGGCUUGUUUUUAC
This 736-nucleotide unclassified non-coding RNA is filed under the name Hevea brasiliensis (rubber tree). The record is from RNAcentral. Lineage: Eukaryota; Viridiplantae; Streptophyta; Magnoliopsida; Malpighiales; Euphorbiaceae.